AGGUAGCAUAAUCAUUUGUUAUCUAAAUGAUAACUAGUAUGAAUGGUCUGACGAGAAAAUAACUUUCUAAAAAGAAAAGAUAAAAAUUUUUUUUAAAGUAAAAAAGCUUUAUAACUUUAGAAAGACGAGAAGACCCUAGAACCUAUUCUAUCUAUAUAGUUUGUUGGGGUGACAUUUUUCAAAACAAAAAACUAUUAAAACUUUUUGACUGAUUCUCUCUAUCUUUUUUAAAAAAAAAAAAGGUACUCUAGGGAUAACAGCAUAAUCUUCUUCUAGAGCCCUAAUCGACAAGAAAGAUUUUGACCUCGAUGUUGAAUUGAUA
RNAcentral lists this ribosomal RNA (322 nucleotides) under Armadillo officinalis (oak-woodland pillbug). Its description in RNAcentral is "partial large subunit ribosomal RNA". It matches the Rfam family "Bacterial large subunit ribosomal RNA", at positions 1954 to 2542 of the family's 2925-position model. Lineage: Eukaryota; Metazoa; Arthropoda; Malacostraca; Isopoda; Armadillidae. The record is from RNAcentral.